GAACGCAUCCUAAGGAAAGCUGAACCCAGUGGAGCCAGCCCAAAGUGAUGCAGCGCCAUCCGGAUGCCACCUCCAUGAAGCCCGCAGCUAUGGGAAGCACGUGACUCGAGCUUCACUUUCACGGUUGCUCGCGGCUAAGACGUAGCUCUGAGUUUCAGAAGAGACUCUGGAUUUGGAUUUCUGAAUGGCGUUGGGACUGUGACCUCAAGAAGACCUGGAUACCGCGAAAAGACCGUGUUUUACCAGAUUCACUGCACCAUUCGAAAUCUUCUGAGAUCAUAAAUAACUGUCAACAUGAUUUCCAGAGAUCCAAGGAAAAGGCACACUUGGGACGAGGGCUGUGUCCUCUUGUCCCCACCCCCAUGUUCCACCCCACUUUCUUUAGUAACCAGCUUUGAGGACAGCUGGUUUUUCUCCCCACGUUUCCCUCAUUAUGGCUCCCAGCCGAGUCUGCCUCUCAUCCCGCUCCUAGUUCUGAUCAGGAGCCUGGCUCCAGGAUGCUCACUGGAGAAAGAAGACUGAGACCCAUUGGAGACAGAGCUCCUAGGAAACUCACUCCAGCUUCUGCUUCUUCUGCUCCAAGAGAUAUAGUUUUUGCUUCAAAACCUAUGGUUCUUGCCUUGGCCUUCAAGGCCUGCUGCUUCCACUGUAAGCAAGCAAGGGACACCGACUUCAGCCUUCGAGACCUGAGAGACAGGAGGACUUCUCCUCCUGCUGUACUUGUUGGUGAUCUGCUGUCUCCAGAUUGCUUUACCAGGGACUGUUCUAGGUAGACAUCUCGACAUUCUGCAAGACGGUAGAGCUGCAAUGCGUGCUGGCACUCUCUUGGUGGAACCUUGAGAAUGUAUCAGGGCAACUGCUGGCAUCUGGCUGCCGCUGAGGGUCUCCGUUUCUAUCUUCCUGUUUGGGUUUCUAUUUUCUCAUUUGAAUUGUUAUUCCUGAGCGGCAAAUGAAAGCUACC
RNAcentral lists this long non-coding RNA (961 nucleotides) under Mus musculus (house mouse). Its description in RNAcentral is "predicted gene, 35021". The record is from RNAcentral. Lineage: Eukaryota; Metazoa; Chordata; Mammalia; Rodentia; Muridae.